RNAcentral lists this ribosomal RNA (497 nucleotides) under uncultured bacterium. RNAcentral describes it as "partial 16S ribosomal RNA". It matches the Rfam family "Bacterial small subunit ribosomal RNA", at positions 28 to 507 of the family's 1533-position model. The record is from RNAcentral.
GAUGAACGCUGGCGGCGUGCCUAAUACAUGCAAGUCGAGCGAACAGACGAGGAGCUUGCUCCUCUGACGUUAGCGGCGGACGGGUGAGUAACACGUGGAUAACCUACCUAUAAUACUGGGAUAACUUCGGGAAACCGGAGCUAAUACCGGAUAAUAUAUUGAACCGCAUGGUUCAAUAGUGAAAGACGGUUUUGCUGUCACUUAUAGAUGGAUCCGCGCCGCAUUAGCUAGUUGGUAAGGUAACGGCUUACCAAGGCAACGAUGCGUAGCCGACCUGAGAGGGUGAUCGGCCACACUGGAACUGAGACACGGUCCAGACUCCCACGGGCGGCAGCAGUAGGGAAUCUUCCGCAAUGGGCGAAAGCCUGACGGAGCAACGCCGCGUGAGUGAUGAAGGUCUUCGGAUCGUAAAACUCUGUUAUUAGGGAAGAACAAAUGUGUAAGUAACUAUGCACGUCUUGACGGUACCUAAUCAGAAAGCCACGGCUAACUACGUG